This 77-nucleotide transfer RNA is filed under the name Halomonas caseinilytica. RNAcentral describes it as "tRNA_Pro_TGG". It matches the Rfam family "tRNA". Rfam says of the family: Transfer RNA (tRNA) molecules are approximately 80 nucleotides in length. Their secondary structure includes four short double-helical elements and three loops (D, anti-codon, and T loops). RNAcentral also lists the same sequence under 1 other name. Lineage: Bacteria; Pseudomonadati; Pseudomonadota; Gammaproteobacteria; Oceanospirillales; Halomonadaceae. The record is from RNAcentral.
CGGGGUGUAGCGCAGUUUGGUAGCGCGCCUGCUUUGGGAGCAGGAUGUCGGGGGUUCAAAUCCCUCCACCCCGACCA